Triticum aestivum (bread wheat) is the source of this 3450-nucleotide long non-coding RNA. RefSeq lists it as uncharacterized. The record is from RefSeq and is a predicted model, not a curated record. Lineage: Eukaryota; Viridiplantae; Streptophyta; Magnoliopsida; Poales; Poaceae. The transcript is spliced from 3 exons.
AACACCUAGCUAUCUCCCCAUUCGCAAUGAGCAGUUUUCACACGAUGAUGUUCCUCUUCCCCCGGCCCUUCUAUUUCGCGAUUGCGGCGGCGGCGGCAGGGACAGCACCAGAGGACGACCCGACUGCUAUGGCUACUUCUCUCGAGCGUGGUGUACUCCCCUUUCCCUCUCCCAUGCGGUGGCGAACCGGAGGCGACGUGGGCAGUGCAACGAUCGGGGCGAGCUCGGCGGCGCCAACAGCCUUCUACGGCAUCCAUCUCCUCCCUCGGCGGUCUUAUCGCCCCCCUCCUCCUCUUCUUAACCUCUCCUCCUCCACUAAUUUCUGAAUUUCUAGGAUUAGGGUUAUUGAUUUUUGGGAGCGGUGCAGGGGAAGGGGAAGAAACUAGGGAAGUAAAGGAAAAAAGAGGAGCUUAGGGGGUGAUGGAGGUGAUGCUGGAGACGGGCGCCCGACAGUGAGAUGAUGGAGGUGGAGAAGAAGGCCAAUCCGAUGACAUAGAAGAAGAGGAGAGCUCAAUGCUGCGGAGAGAAAGGAACAUCAGUAGAGUAUCCGACUUUGAUUCAGCUGAGACAUUUUCGUUUUUUCGCAAGACAUGUGAAUCCUCUCUGCGUUUUUUGCUUUUGUUUAGAAUUCACGAAUUUUCUUCCUUGUAGCUAUAAAUGAUGGUUCCGACUUAAUUGGAUUUUAGUAAUGACGUACAUAAAGAAUCAAUCUAUACGGCUGUACCUAGCUGACAAUGCUAAUUCUCUGUAAAUUUGUAUUAUCAAAAUUUGCACAAACCUACGAGCAAAAUUUUCUUCAAUUAAAGAUGAUUCAUUUUAUGAGGAAUUUGUUUUAUAUUUAGUGAAUUUAUUAGGCAAACAAGGAAUUGGAAUUCUGCCAAGAAAUCUAGGGGCAGAAGAAGAUGCAUGCAAGGGACUUGCGGACUAGGCAAAUGCUGUGCAGGCGAGAAAAUGCUCAAGUUCCAUGACUCCAAGUUCACCUUGAUGUAUUCAGUUUGGAGCAAUUCGUGAUUACUACCAGCUUCAAAUUAGAUUUAUCUGAAUUGCAAUGAGGUACAAGACUGUCCCUCUUCCUUGCUGUCUUAUCUUCGGUGUUUAUUUGGUUGAACUAGCAUAAACCUAACUUUUAAUACUGACGUGUUUCCGCCCAAUUUGUGCAGUAAGCCAUGCUAGUCAUCAAGUAAUCAAUCUCAAUGUUCCCUUAAUAGAUGAUUGCUAUUGAUUUGCUGUGGCUUAACUAUCAACGACAAAACAUUUCCCUUUUCCCCCUAAUACUGGUUUAUUUGCUCCUUCUAGGAGGCCUGCAUUUUGCUAAUUGUCUAUUUGCUAGAGAAGUAGUGGCAAUGAACUGAUGCCUUAUCUGAAUAGCUUCAGAAAUUCUUAACAUGAAAUACAUAAUAUACUUAUCUGUAUGUGGUUCAUGCUUCGUUGUUUAAAUUUUCUCUUUGUUAAAUGUUGGCGAGUAGAUAUAUAUUCUUGAUUCGUUAUCCUGAAUCUGAAUUUGGGGAAGAUGAUCUAACUAGCUUCUAAAUCAGCUGAGUUGUACUGAUGAUGGUGUGUUUGCUGCUCACACAUUUUAUUCCAAGGACCAUUAUGACAAAUAAUGGCCACUUAUAGGUUGCUGGUAAUGCAUUUUCACACCAUACAUAUGCUUGUGCUUACCCCCGUUGGGUAAUCAAUAUGAUACUGGUGCACUAAUUUGUGGAUUUCGGUUUGUUUUAUACAUGAAAAUAAGGUAAGAGUGUUAUGUCAGCUUCAAGUCCCUCGAAACCACAUACUUUUGUUCGUCUUGUUCUAGGUUACCUUCUUCCAUGGUGGCAUGAAUCUGUCUUACAAAAAAUAGACGUGGAUGCUUUCUUCGUCAGUUCCAUGUAAUUUUUGUCUCGUUGAUCUGUAAUUUCGGAUGUAUGUGAGUUUUUGAGGUGCACAGUUCACUAGCAUUACCUAGGUUAAGCAUAUCUUUGCUCCCACAUUUGCAUGACACAUGAUUUAUACUUUGGAUUGUAUAUGAAUUACUGUUUGUGUAUGCAUAUGCUACAGUUUGCACCUCUAGUAUUUUAACUUCCUACUUCAGUGGAUGUGGUAAAGUGCAACAAUACUCAAUUAGGCCUUACUGAUUUUUAUGGUCGUCUUUUUAGCAUCUGGCAAAGCAGUAAGAUUAAUGAUGUAAUGGCCGUAACUAUACUUCUUGUCGAAAAGCGAUCUAUGGGAAAACCUCCUCAAGAAUCUGGAGGAUGUAGUGAGAGAUCUGACCUGGGAUUGUUACUCUCAUACAACCCUAUUCACAUCCAUGUUGUACUUGCACUUGCGAGCUUCUCAUUGGCUCUGAAAAUUGAAUGAAACAGUUCUCAUUUUCAGUCAUAUUUUUCUGGGUAAUCCACACGGGACGAAAAGCACAUUAGGCAUGCAUACAAUUGUCAAAUUUUACAGGCUGAAAUUUUGGAAUAAUUGUCAAUUGGUUUUCAGUCGAUUGGCUGUCAAUCUUUGCAGAUUUAUCAGUUUAACCCGCCCUCAAUCUAGGAGUAAUCUUGUAUAACAUUCAGUUACAAGACACAAACUAGUUAAAUAUGAUGACUCCCACCAUUGUAUCUGGCACACUUUGAUAAAAUACAUGGUUUAGUGUGCAUUGAAACAAUAGUUACGGAGUUUGCCUGUUUAUAUUGUUUCUCACUAUACUUUUGAUUCAUAGUGUGUUAUGGGUUCAUGUGAUUCCGAACAGUUUGGUACAUCUAAUAUCCCUCUGAGUUAUGUAUGCUUUCAACAUUGUGUCCAGUUUAGGGUAGUGAAGCAUAUUAAUCCUAAAGUGUUAUAUGCGCUUGUGUGUUGGGGGCCUCUAUUUGUUUGUUAGUAUACUUCUGAGAACUGAUAAUAUUAUGCUUUUCAGGUAUCUGUUCAAGUGGAUGACAGUAAAUGUAUGAGGGUAGAGAGUAAUGUCUUCUUAUUUAUGGUGGGUACGAGUAACAUUAAAUUGAAAUUUCAGACCUUUAACUAAUCCCUCCAUCCCACGGUAUAAGAUGUUUUUGCAAACUAAACAUAGCUUGCAAAAACGUCUUAUAUUGUGGGACGGAGGGAGUAGUAACCAGUAGCAAAAUUCAGGAUUUGGUGAGAAGAAAAGUGAACCUAAGGGCUCCAAUACUAUUAAUAGCACAAUACUAUGUUGCAUUCACCGUUUCAGUCCUGGAGAGAUUGCUGAACAGAUGAAGUUGAUGGAAAAUUCUAUGGUCACCUAAAAAUUAAGCUGCUUGAAGAUCAAGUUCAGAAGUACUGCAGUCAGCUUUCAAGUUCGGUAGUAUUCAGUUUUGUAAUAGUGAUUUCUGAAUAUGUCAUGCUACUAGUUACUUAGUGCUAAGUGGCAUUCAGUUGUUUUCAAACAAUUUUUUUUUUCUAAUUGCAAGGAUAGUUUUUGUUACAUGGGGUAUUUCCCUGAACCACUACAUGGAAUCUAUUUAU